RNAcentral lists this ribosomal RNA (450 nucleotides) under uncultured organism. RNAcentral describes it as "partial 16S ribosomal RNA". It matches the Rfam family "Bacterial small subunit ribosomal RNA", at positions 329 to 796 of the family's 1533-position model. The record is from RNAcentral.
ACGUACACUCCUGCGGGAGGCAGCAGUGGGGAAUAUUGGACAAUGGGCGCAAGCCUGAUCCAGCCAUGCCGCGUGAGUGAUGAAGGCCCUAGGGUUGUAAAGCUCUUUCACCGGUGAAGAUAAUGACGGUAACCGGAGAAGAAGCCCCGGCUAACUUCGUGCCAGCAGCCGCGGUAAUACGAAGGGGGCUAGCGUUGUUCGGAUUUACUGGGCGUAAAGCGCACGUAGGCGGACUAUUAAGUCAGGGGUGAAAUCCCGGGGCUCAACCCCGGAACUGCCUUUGAUACUGGUAGUCUUGAGUUCGAGAGAGGUGAGUGGAAUUCCGAGUGUAGAGGUGAAAUUCGUAGAUAUUCGGAGGAACACCAGUGGCGAAGGCGGCUCACUGGCUCGAUACUGACGCUGAGGUGCGAAAGCGUGGGGAGCAAACAGGAUUAGAAACCCUAGUAGUCC